This 486-nucleotide ribosomal RNA is filed under the name uncultured bacterium. Its description in RNAcentral is "partial 16S ribosomal RNA". It matches the Rfam family "Bacterial small subunit ribosomal RNA", at positions 28 to 523 of the family's 1533-position model. The record is from RNAcentral.
GACGAACGCUGGCGGCGUGCUUAACACAUGCAAGUCGAACGCUGAAGCACCAGCUUGCUGGUGUGGAUGAGUGGCGAACGGGUGAGUAAUACGUGAGUAACCUGCCCUUGACUCUGGGAUAAGCCCGGGAAACUGGGUCUAAUACUGGAUGCUACAUGUCACCGCAUGGUGGUGUGUGGAAAGGGUUUACUGGUCUUGGAUGGGCUCACGGCCUAUCAGCUUGUUGGUGAGGUAAUGGCUCACCAAGGCGACGACGGGUAGCCGGCCUGAGAGGGUGACCGGCCACACUGGGACUGGGACACGGCCCAGACUCCGACGGGAGGCAGCAGUGGGGAAUAUUGCACAAUGGGCGAAAGCCUGAUUCAGCGAAGCCGCGUGAGGGAUGACGGCCUUCGGGUUGUAAACCUCUUUCAGCAGGGAAGAAGCCACAAGUGACGGUACCUGCAGAAGAAGCGCCGGCUAACUACGUGCCAGCAGCCGCCGUAA